UCGGAUGGAAGACUGUAAUUCUUAGUGGCGGACGGGUGAGUAACGCGUGGGCAACCUGCCCUAUACAGGGGGAUAGCAGCUGGAAACGGCUGGUAAGACCGCAUAAGUCGGCGAGACCGCAUGGUUUUGUCGGGAAAUGAGCAAUCAGGUAUAGGAUGGGCCCGCGUCCGAUUAGCCAGUUGGCAGGGUAAAAGCCUACCAAAGCAACGAUCGGUAGCCGGACUGAGAGGUCGGACGGCCACAUUGGGACUGAGACACGGCCCAAACUCCUACGGGAGGCAGCAGUGGGGGAUAUUGCACAAUGGAGGAAACUCUGAUGCAGCGACGCCGCGUGAGUGAAGAAGUAUUUCGGUAUGUAAAGCUCUAUCAGCAGGGAAGAUGAUGACGGUACCUGACUAAGAAGCCCCGGCUAACUACGUGCCAGCAGCCGCGGUAAUACGUAGGGGGCAAGCGUUAUCCGGAUUUACUGGGUGUAAAGGGAGCGCAGGCGGUUUGGCAAGUUGAGAGUGGAAGCAGGGGGCUCAACCCCUUGACUGCUCCCAAAACUGUUAAACUUGAGUAUGGGAGAGGCAGGCGGAAUUCCUAGUGUAGCGGUGAAAUGCUUAGAUAUUAGGAAGAACACCGGUGGCGAAGGCGGCCUGCUGGACCAAAACUGACGCUGAGGCUCGAAAGCGUGGGUAGCAAACAGGAUUAGAUACCCUGGUAGUCCACGCUGUAAACGAUGAAUACUAGGUGCCGGGAGGCAUAAGUCUUUCGGUGCCGUCGCAAACGCAUUAA
Molecule: ribosomal RNA, 777 nt
Filed under: uncultured Lachnospiraceae bacterium
Lineage: Bacteria; Bacillati; Bacillota; Clostridia; Lachnospirales; Lachnospiraceae
Description: SSU rRNA
Rfam family: Bacterial small subunit ribosomal RNA
Source: RNAcentral